UUCCUUGAAAAUAAAAAUAAUCAAGCAUUGCAUUUCAUGCAUCAUUUGCAUAAGAAGGUUUUCGCCAGAUGUCUGAUUGGUGUUUCUUCUGUGCUUUAGCCAAGAUGACUCACCGGUACAAUACCCGAGCCAAUCAUCAGAAAAUCAUGGAACAUUUGGAACAAAAGAACAGAGAGUUGAAGGACGAGAUCGCCCGCCUGAUUACCAUGACGGAGUCAGUUCUUGCUGCUCAAAACCAAG
RNAcentral lists this long non-coding RNA (240 nucleotides) under Lathyrus oleraceus (garden pea). RNAcentral describes it as "Pisum sativum (pea) long non-coding RNA (PSAT_LNC036568)". The record is from RNAcentral. Lineage: Eukaryota; Viridiplantae; Streptophyta; Magnoliopsida; Fabales; Fabaceae.